AGUGACAGACUUGAAGUAGAGAGGAGGGGGACAAAAUUUCUUAAAAAAAAAAAAGAUGAAGCUCUCCAAACAAAAAAAGAAAAAAAAGAAAAGGAAGCUUUCUCUGUUUGUCGAUCAAUCCUUAUCGCUAAAGCUUAAUCAGACGUAGUUAGCUAACUCCAAUCGUUGUGAAAAUUGAAGGUAUUAGUGACGAGAUAACAAGUUUAAGCAGCGGGAUUUGAGGUAAGGAAAUUAGAUAGUUUUAUAUGUGUUUAUCUGCAUUUAAAUUCUUUAUGUAUUGAAAUAUGACUUAUGAUUUGUUUUUAUGAAUAUGUAUAUGGUACUGAGAAUGUGUGGUAUGGACACAAUAUGAGUUUGUGAAUUGAUACAUAGAUUAUGGUUGUAUGACUUGUAUAUGUUGUAUGUUGUAUUUGUAUGUUUCAGGUUGUGUGUUGUAUGAUGUAAUUGUAUGUUGCAUGUUAUAUGUUGUAUGUUGUAUGCUAACGUCUCAGGUAAAGUGGGGGACCAUGGUGGGGUGUGAUACGGGAUAAGGCCGUUGAAUGUAGAGAUACCCUACCCUACAUUUUACUGAGUCGUGUAUGAGAUUGUUAUGGUGGGUAUGAUACAGUGAUGUUACUGUUGAAUAUAGAGAUACCCUAUCCUAUAACAAUGGUAGGGCUGCAUAGGCCCAUGUUAUUAUAUGGGCAGAUUAGGCCCAGGAUAUUGAAGGGUCAGGCUAGGCCCGGGUUAUGUAAGUAAUGGCUAUGAUAUGCCAAUGUUGUGAUAAUGUUAUUAUUAUCUAUAGUAUUGAUAUGAUUAUGUUAUGAGUAUGAUAUUGGAGUUAUGAUC
This is a long non-coding RNA of Cannabis sativa, 828 nucleotides long. RefSeq lists it as uncharacterized. The record is from RefSeq and is a predicted model, not a curated record. The transcript is spliced from 2 exons. NCBI's taxonomy places the organism in Eukaryota, Viridiplantae, Streptophyta, Magnoliopsida, Rosales, Cannabaceae.